This 253-nucleotide ribosomal RNA is filed under the name uncultured bacterium. RNAcentral's name for it is "partial 16S ribosomal RNA". It matches the Rfam family "Bacterial small subunit ribosomal RNA", at positions 524 to 776 of the family's 1533-position model. The record is from RNAcentral.
UACGGAGGGGGAAAGCGUUAUCCGGAUUCACUGGGUUUAAAGGGUGCGUAGGUGGGCAGGUAAGUCAGUGGUGAAAUCUCCGGGCUUAACUCGGAAACUGCCAUUGAUACUAUCUGUCUUGAAUACCGUGGAGGUCAGCGGAAUAUGUCAUGUAGCGGUGAAAUGCUUAGAUAUGACAUAGAACACCAAUUGCGAAGGCAGCUGGCUACACGAAUAUUGACACUGAUGCACGAAAGCGUGGGGAUCAAACAGG